UACGUAGGGUGCGAGCGUUAAUCGGAAUUACUGGGCGUAAAGCGUGCGCAGGCGGUCUGUUAAGACCGAUGUGAAAUCCCCGGGCUUAACCUGGGAACUGCAUUGGUGACUGGCAGGCUUUGAGUGUGGCAGAGGGAGGUAGAAUUCCACGUGUAGCAGUGAAAUGCGUAGAGAUGUGGAGGAAUACCGAUGGCGAAGGCAGCCUCCUGGGCCAACACUGACGCUGAGGAGCGAAGCCAGGGAGCAAACGGG
This 252-nucleotide ribosomal RNA is filed under the name uncultured bacterium. Its description in RNAcentral is "partial 16S ribosomal RNA". It matches the Rfam family "Bacterial small subunit ribosomal RNA", at positions 524 to 776 of the family's 1533-position model. The record is from RNAcentral.